This 629-nucleotide ribosomal RNA is filed under the name Suillus tomentosus. RNAcentral's name for it is "eukaryotic LSU rRNA". The record is from RNAcentral. Lineage: Eukaryota; Fungi; Basidiomycota; Agaricomycetes; Boletales; Suillaceae.
AUUAAAGAAAUAAUCUCGAGGGCCGAUGGAAAGGAGAGAGGGUUGUAGCUGGCGUAAGCACGUGCACGCCCUCUUUCUCGACCUAGGUCCUUAUGGGCGCGGGGCGACCCGCGUCUUCAUAAGCCCCUUCGUGUAGAAAGUCWAUGAAUGUUUUUAYYAUCAUCGACUCGCGACUUCUAGGAGACGCGAUUCUUUGAGACAAAAGUUAUUACAACUUUCAGCAAUGGAUCUCUUGGCUCUCGCAUCGAUGAAGAACGCAGCGAAUCGCGAUAUGUAAUGUGAAUUGCAGAUCUACAGUGAAUCAUCGAAUCUUUGAACGCACCUUGCGCUUAUCGGUGUUCCGAUGAGCAUGCCUGUUUGAGCGUCAUUAAAUUCUCAACCCCUCUCGAUUUGCUUCGAGAGGGUGCUUGGAUWGUGGAGGCUGCCGGAGACCUGUUUUUUCAGGACUCGGGCUCCUCUGAAAUGUAUUGGCUUGCGGUCGACUUUCGACUGUGCAUGACAAGGCCUUUGGCGUGAUAAUGAUCGCCGCUCGCCGAAGUGCACGAACGAAUGGUCUCGUGCCUCUAAUCAGUCGAUGUCUUUUCGAAGGCGUCUUCCUUAUUGACGUUUGACCUCAAAUCAGGUAGGAC